This 5561-nucleotide long non-coding RNA is filed under the name Bemisia tabaci. Its description in RNAcentral is "lncRNA ENSASIAIIG013016". Lineage: Eukaryota; Metazoa; Arthropoda; Insecta; Hemiptera; Aleyrodidae. The record is from RNAcentral.
AAAAGUGGGCACCUAAUCGAUCCUGAUGGAUUUGAGUUACCACAGCCAUACGCAGUUUCAGAUAGAAUCAAUGUCUGCCCGGAAACAUUCCCCAGGCCUAGUAACCAGAUGAGAGUUCAAGAUGAAUACGGGCAAAUCCAUCGAAUACCCCAUGACCUGAAAACUGAUCAGGGUUAUAUUCGACCACCGAGACCGCCUCGCCCCCGAGCGGAUUCCGUGCAUAACUAUCGUGUAGUCGAUCAGAAUAAAAUAAUCACGGCUGCAGACAUUCAUACCCCUCCACCUGAAUAUGAGAAGAGGUAUACACAGGAGGGAAAAACUUUCAGGAGAAACCCUCAAAUUCAACCUCAUGGUGAAGUACAGACUAAUUGCAGAGGCUUGCAACACAGUGAUAUUCAGCAGAGUUUCCAUCAGCCGGCCCAGUCUUACGACCAAAUAACGGACGAGUGUGCUCCCUCAAGAAUAAGUGAUAAAUUUGUAUUCAACGAGACGCUUGAUUCUAAAGCUUUGGCAGAUGAAAGUCCGCCUCCAUUUUUUCGGAAGCAAGAUUGGGACUCAGAUACUCCCAAAAUGUUAGCAGAUGAGAGUCCCCCUCCAUUCUUCGCAAGGCAAGAGUGGGACUCGAGUUCUUCUACGAGUGAUGAGAAGUGCUCGCCAGAAAAUGUUUGCAGGAAAUUGUAAGAUGAUGUCACCUAAACGCUUAUCCUUUCCGAGCAGCCCUGAAAGCAUCCAAGAUAGAGAGGACCCUGUGAGUACGGAUUGUUUACUACCUGAGGCGCCUUCAACGACCGAGUCAAAACUUGAAGGCAUUUUAAAGAAAAACGAAAUUAGAGAAGCACAGUCUGCGUCAGGAGGAGUAUUCAAGGAUGACGUUGAGACAUGCGACCUUGCUAAGUAUCCAAAUGAUCCCUCUGGUAAAUCAGCAAAGGAUGUAACUUCGUCAAAACCUAUCGCUGAAAAUGCUCUGUCCCCUUUCAUUCCAUUGUGCAACUCCACAAAAAUUGACGAACAUUUGGAACAUUCAAGGGAUUCAUUUUCCUGUCCGCCUAAGAUUGAGGAAAAUGAAAUAGUUCCAGACGGAGACAUUUUAGUGCCACGUAAUCUGUUUUGUGACCCUAGGAAUAGUCGAACCUUUAAAACUCCCUCAAAUGGCAAUGCGGAAUAUAUAAAUUAUUCCCCGUGUAAUUUGGGUAUCGUUCAGGCCAUUAAGACUCCUUCUAACAGAAAUUCCCUGCCAUCAUAUACUCUUGAGGCUGAUUCAGUCGCGAAUAAGAGCAAGGAGACUUCAGAACGUUGGAAGAGCUUUCGUUCGGGCAAUGCAGUUUUCGUUGACGCAAUGAAAAGUCAGUCAAAUGGCGGUUCUCAAGAACCGACUGAUUCCGUCCGCAAAUUAACAAUGACUGAUAAAAUCCAAACUUGCGCCAGAAAAAAUUUAAAAGCACCUCCUGGACCUGUUUCCAGCAUUACAUCUGUGGGAGGGACCAUUCAGAGUCCCUUCAAUGAAAACUCUCAACUCUCAACGAUUUUCUCUAACGACGCAGUCCUAGCGAAAACCGAGAAAACUUUGGCUCGGUGGAGGAAAUUCUGCUCAUGUAAUUUACCUUUGGAUAAUGCUAUGGAUAAUCAAUUAAACACAAAUUUGCAAGACUCCAAUGACGACAAUGAAAAUUUAACAACGUUUGAAUGCAAUAACACUUUCUCAAACAAAAAUUCGGAGCAUCUCGACGAUUUGUCAUGUAGCUUACCCGUGACAGGGACCAUCGAAAAUGUACUGAAAGGAAAAUGUUUGCUCCAUUGUGAUCGUUCGGGCAGCGAGUCAACACUCCACGCCUUAGAGAACUGCUUCAACAACCUGACGGCUCUUGACGCUCUAGAAAACCGCUUAAGAAAAGUGACGACGGAAACCGCCGCACAGAUUUGUUCAAGCGAAAAAGCGGAUCGUCCACAAAAUCUAAUGUGUGAAUCGGCUUGGACCAACGCUAUGGACAUUUUUUUGAAACCUUCGAGUCAUUUAAUAACGGUCGAGUCUAUUAGAACUUACUUGAACGAAAAUGCGGACGAUCCUGAUAGUUCAUCCUGCAGCUCAGCUGUAAUUGAAGGCGAAAAGAGGUCUUCAGAUGGGGAUACUUCGCUUCAAGGUGAUGUCUCAGGCUACGUGUUAACGUUUAACGACCCGGAGAAUUCCUUUAACGCUGCGAAAAUUUGCUCGAAUAGGAAUGAUGACCAUUCAAAUAAUCCAAAAUGUGAUUCCGCUUGGACUGACACGGUGGAAAUAAGCUUGAAGCCAGCGAGCAGCAGAACAACCAUCCAUUCCAUGCUACCCUGCUUAAACCAGAAGGAGGGUAAUCCUAAUGUCUCAUCAUAUAAUCUACUUGUGGUUAAGGCCAAAGAUAAUAACUCCCAAGAUAACGUUCUACUCCAAGGUGAUCUCUUGGGCAGCGUAUCGAUAGAUGAGGAGCAAGGGAACCAUCUCAAUGGCUUGAGGGUGGCUCACGCUUUGGAGCUUCGCUCGAAUGGAAAUGUUGAUGAUCUGAAUAACGAAAAAACUGACUCGUCUUUGGUUGAUGCUAGGAGAACUUUUUUAAAUCCCAUGAGCAGCUUGACAAGUGUUGAUAGGCCAGGGCAUGGCUUAAAAAGGACCGUGGAGAAUGCUGAUGACUGCUCAUGCGGUUCAGCUGUUAUUGAGGCUGAGAGGAGUCCCAGACCCUUACAGGGGGAUGUUCCACUCCAGUGCGAUCUUACGGGCGGUGUGUCAAUGGAAGGCCGAGGCAGAUCGAAGAAUUGUCUCAGUGACGCUGCGGUAAUUAAUACUCUGAUGACUUGCUCGAAUGGAAAUGAUGAUUUUUCGAUACAUCAAAAGAACAAUUUAGCUUGGACUGACGCCAUGGAAAGAUUUUUAAAUUCUUCGUGUAACCCAACGACUGUAGACGCCGUAACACCUUGCUCAAAAAAAAAUAACUAUAAUUCUGAUGGAUCCUUUGAUGGAAAACCUGAGGUUGAAUGUAUCCCAAAAUCGUGCAGUUCAGUCAAAGCUAAAGUUAUUCAAAGCCUAAAAAAAGGAAAUUCUCAACCGUCAAAUACUCCUGCUGAUGAUUUAGGUAUAAUUCAAGAUGAGGAGUCUUUGGGACGCCCCGAAGAUUUGCGUUCCAGAAAUUUACUUGUAAUUGACGCGAUGGAAAAUCACUUAAACGAGAUUUCCAAGCGUUUAGACAAUCUCUCGGGCAAUCCAACUUGGGGUACUACCAUCAGACAAUCCUUUAAAAAUAAUAAUGAAUGCUCAGAUGAUUUGUCGUGUAAUUCACCUCCGUUCAAUCCCACGAGCGAUUUCGGUAAUGACAAAAUUCUCCUUCAGUGUGAUCUCUCUGGUAGCUUAUCAACGGUUGACGUCCUGGAGUUAUGCUUGAGCAACCUGACAGCAGCGGCUGACGUUAUAGACACUUGCUCGAAAAUUAAUGAAAAUAAUGCGAAUGAACAUGCAUGCGAUUCAAGGGUGGCAAACGUCAUGAGCAAUACAUUGAGAAAAGAUGCUCAAAAAUCAAAUCAGUCAUGGGACAAGUUAACAAUGAGUGGGGAUAAGGAUAAAAAUCGCAAAAACGUAUAUCAUCCACCACGUCGCCAAACUUUGAUCGCCAAUAUGGAUACGUCUUUGACCAGAAAUACUGAAAGUUUAAGCAACCCUUCUAAUAUGGCAGGUGCGACUGUAAAUACAGAGAGUCCUCCAUAUGAUCAACAUUCUAGAGAUAUGCCAUGGAGAAUAGGGAUUGAUACUAGCAUUAUAAAUGGACCCGAUGAAAAUAAUUCACCCCUAUUAUGUGAGCCGUCGAGGAACACAUGUAAAUUUGACUCUAACAAGAAUGUACUGGCUGAAGGAGCCAAAAAUAAAAUUAAAAUUAUAAAAGAGUUACAUGCGCUUGAGUCAUCAAAGAGCAACGAUUGCGGAAAUGCUGAUCAACCAAAUAAUAAUCGGGGGUAUAAUUCAACCCCGGUGGACCCAACGGAGGGCAUUUUGAACCCUUCGAGCUCCUCAAAAGCGGUUGACGCCCCGACACCUCUUUCGAAAAAAAAUGCAGAGAACGCGCUACCUCAGUAUGGAUCGACGCGAAGGCUAACAGAGGAUAAAUCCACGAGGAGUUGCAACGACGUCACUGUUCGGCAAACAAACGAAUCGUUGAGUAUUGAUACGUUGCCUCAAACGGACUCAUCUCAAAGACUCCGCAAGGAUAAAACCAAGUCGAGUUGCUCGAAGAAAAAUUGUCAACAACCUAACCAGUCCCGAAGCAGGAAAGGUAUCACUGCAGGUGCCGAAGAUAUUAUUCAGAAUAAUGUGCUCCAUCCAGGCUGCGUAACUGUAUUUGAGGUCUUGGAUAGCGACUCGAUCCGAAAUUGCCAACAUCCAAAUGAUCAAUACGGGUCUUCAUCGGCUCGCCGAGGCUGUAACUCGGAGCUCGCCGUUUAUGCGACUCCCAGGAAAGAGCCGAUUUUUGAAGUCAUAGGGACUAUUGCGCCGGUGCCUCUCUCGAGAUUUACAGGAAUUGAGAUGAUAAGGGACAGUUCGAGCAGAGACAUUCUGAGUCAAGCAGACGUAUCGAAGGGCUUCGCGACAUUUGUUGAAAAAAAGUGCAGCUCGAAUUCCAUUGCACAUUUUCCACCGUGCAAAUCAGGGAUUAUUCAGGUCGUAGAGUAUGAAAAUGGGCCGUGUUUGAAUUGCUCUUCCUGCAGGGUAGCAACGGUUCACUCGGACGUAAAAACCCAAUAUUCAAAGGAGUCCUUAUGCGGGGUAGUAUCACCAGCACCAAUGAAGAAUAGUUCAAAUAGUAAUAUUACGCAUCCAAGUAGAUUUUGUGCGAUAGACUCUGCGACCAAUCAUCCGAAUGUUCAGCAUGUUAAUAAUCAUUUUGACACGCCAGCAGUCACUCCGGUAUCUACCUCCGGGGGUGCUUUUUACGUGAGCCCCACUUCAGGGCCAAGAUAUGAGGUCAAAAUUGGAGCAAUUACACCAUCUCAUUUUCCAGUUUACCCCGCAGACUCCAUGGGUUCAGAGGCCUCCGCUAAGACAUCACACCCCGGACUGUCCAAACCCUGCACGGCGUAUAGUUUAGAGUUCUUCCAACCUGACGAACUUCCCUCCUCCGGAACAGACAAUGGCACGGAGUAUGACUUGAAAUGCACGAAAAGGGAGCGAAAAAAUUGGUGUCUCGUGGAAAAAAUCCGAAACUCUCACGAAAGCGAACUAUUAAAGGACCUGAAUGAUGAUCCUCGUUUUUUGCUACUGACGUACCGGCUCGUGGGGUCAAAGGUGACAAAAAAUCCUUUCUCUAAACUUACAACAGACGAUAAGAUACAGCUGGUGGAAGAGUUAAAAAAAGAAAUGCCUCGUGGUGAAUGCGCCUUCAUCGAGCGAUUGCAUAGUUUAGAAGAGGAGUUGGACGAAAUUGGAUUUCUUGAUUAUUGAUUGACACUGUCCAAUUUCAUCACCGUCCUCACAUCUGUUCUAUCUAUGAUGGUACGUGAGUAUCAUCUUUUGUUUUUAAAUGUACUCAUGUUUUUACGUACCUACGGAC